AACGAACGCUGGCGGCGCGUCUUAAGCAUGCAAGUCGAACGGCAAGAUUGGUGCUUGCACCGAUCCUAGAGUGGCGGACUGGUGAGUAACGCGUGGGUGACGUACCCUAAGGAUGGGGAUAGCUGGUAGAAAUAUCAGAUAAUACCGAAUAUCCUUAUUGUUGUUAGAGGACAGUAAGGAAAGGAGCUUUGGCUUCGCCUAAGGAUCGGCCCGCGUACUAUUAGCUAGUUGGUGGGGUAAUGGCCCACCAAGGCGACGAUCAGUAGCUGGUCUGAGAGGAUGAUCAGCCACAUUGGGACUGAGACACGGCCCAAACUCCUACGGGAGGCAGCAGUGGGGAAUAUUGGACAAUGGGCGCAAGCCUGAUCCAGCCAUGCCGCGUGAGUGAUGAAGGCCUUCGGGUCGUAAAGCCCUGUUGAUAGGGACGAAGGGCGAAGGGUUAAUAGCCCCUAGCCUGACGGUACCUUUCGAGGAAGCCCCGGCUAACUACGUGCCAG
This 497-nucleotide ribosomal RNA is filed under the name uncultured bacterium. RNAcentral's name for it is "bacterial SSU rRNA". It matches the Rfam family "Bacterial small subunit ribosomal RNA", at positions 29 to 511 of the family's 1533-position model. The record is from RNAcentral.